GCAGACGCCACUGAAUAUUUUACCUUUGAAAAUUGAAGGCAUAUGUUUUGUUAUUAAGUAGGCAUUUCACUUUCAGCCGUUCGGUGUCAAACUUUGACAUAGCUUUUUUAUUUUUACUUUUUAUUAUUAUUAUUGUUAUUAUUCUUGGCUACAACAAGAGAAUCAUCAUGGAUCAAUAUUAUUUGCUCUGCCUCCAUUUUAGAUUAAAGUUGUACACUCUAUUUGCUUGCAUAAAGUUUGCCUUCCCAUCAAAAGGACUUAUAGUCUUUGAAGGGCAUUUUGAGA
This 285-nucleotide long non-coding RNA is filed under the name Lathyrus oleraceus (garden pea). Its description in RNAcentral is "Pisum sativum (pea) long non-coding RNA (PSAT_LNC024053)". The record is from RNAcentral. Lineage: Eukaryota; Viridiplantae; Streptophyta; Magnoliopsida; Fabales; Fabaceae.